Molecule: transfer RNA, 74 nt
Filed under: Nitrospirota bacterium
Lineage: Bacteria; Pseudomonadati; Nitrospirota
Description: Nitrospirae bacterium (sediment metagenome) tRNA-His
Rfam family: tRNA
About the family: Transfer RNA (tRNA) molecules are approximately 80 nucleotides in length. Their secondary structure includes four short double-helical elements and three loops (D, anti-codon, and T loops).
Source: RNAcentral
GUGGCUAUGGUGUAACGGCAGCACGAGAGACUGUGGCUCUCUUUGUACGGGUUCAAAUCCCGUUAGCCACCCCA